ACUCCUACGGGAGGCAGCAGUGGGAAUAUUGCACAAUGGGCGCAAGCCUGAUGCAGCCAUGCCGCGUGUAUGAAGAAGGCCUUCGGGUUGUAAAGUACUUUCAGCAGUGAGGAAGGUGGAUAUGUUAAUAGCAUAUUCAUUUGACGUUAGCUGCAGAAGAAGCACCGGCUAACUCCGUGCCAGCAGCCGCGGUAAUACGGAGGGUGCGAGCGUUAAUCGGAAUUACUGGGCGUAAAGCGCAUGCAGGUGGUUUGUUAAGUCAGAUGUGAAAGCCCGGGGCUCAACCUCGGAAUUGCAUUUGAAACUGGCAAACUAGAGUACUGUAGAGGGGGGUAGAAUUUCAGGUGUAGCGGUGAAAUGCGUAGAGAUCUGAAGGAAUACCGGUGGCGAAGGCGGCCCCCUGGACAGAUACUGACACUCAGAUGCGAAAGCGUGGGGAGCAAACAGGAUUAGAUACCCUGGAGGCGUAG
RNAcentral lists this ribosomal RNA (470 nucleotides) under uncultured bacterium. RNAcentral's name for it is "bacterial SSU rRNA". It matches the Rfam family "Bacterial small subunit ribosomal RNA", at positions 335 to 798 of the family's 1533-position model. The record is from RNAcentral.